Molecule: ribosomal RNA, 506 nt
Filed under: uncultured bacterium
Lineage: Bacteria
Description: partial 16S ribosomal RNA
Rfam family: Bacterial small subunit ribosomal RNA
Source: RNAcentral
AUUGAACGCUGGCGGCAGGCCUAACACAUGCAAGUCGAACGGUAACAGGAAACAGCUUGCUGUUUCGCUGACGAGUGGCGGACGGGUGAGUAAUGUCUGGGAAACUGCCUGAUGGAGGGGGAUAACUACUGGAAACGGUAGCUAAUACCGCAUAACGUCGCAAGACCAAAGAGGGGGACCUUCGGGCCUCUUGCCAUCGGAUGUGCCCAGAUGGGAUUAGCUAGUAGGUGGGGUAACGGCCCACCUAGGCGACGAUCCCUAGCUGGUCUGAGAGGAUGACCAGCCACACUGGAACUGAGACACGGUCCAGACUCCUACGGGAGGCAGCAGUGGGGAAUAUUGCACAAUGGGCGCAAGCCUGAUGCAGCCAUGUCGCGUGUAUGAAGAAGGCCUUCGGGUUGUAAAGUACUUUCAGCGGGGAGGAAGGGAGUAAAGUUAAUACCUUUGCUCAUUGACGUUACCCGCAGAAGAAGCACCGGCUAACUCCGUGCCAGCCGCCGCUGUAA